Molecule: ribosomal RNA, 483 nt
Filed under: uncultured bacterium
Lineage: Bacteria
Description: partial 16S ribosomal RNA
Rfam family: Bacterial small subunit ribosomal RNA
Source: RNAcentral
GACGAACGCUGGCGGCGUGCUUAACACAUGCAAGUCGAACGCUGAAGCUCAGCUUUUGUUGGGUGGAUGAGUGGCGAACGGGUGAGUAACACGUGAGUAACCUGCCCCCUUCUUUGGGAUAACGCCCGGAAACGGGUGCUAAUACUGGAUAUUCACUGGUCUUCGCAUGGGGGUGGGGGGAAGGGGUUUUUUGGGGGGGGGAUGGCGCAGCGGCCUUUCAGCUUGUUGGUGGGGGGAGGGCCUACCAAGGCUUUGCCGGGUAGCCGGCCUGAGGGGGUGACCGGUCACAUUGGGACUGAGAUGCGGCCCAGACUCCUACGGGAGGCAGCAGUGGGGAAUAUUGCACAAUGGGCGCAAGACUGAUGCAGCGACGCCGCGUGAGGGAUGGAGGCCUUCGGGUUGUGAACCCCUUUCGCUCAUGGUCAAGCCGAAACAAUGGUUGUGGUGAGGGUAGUGGGUAAAGAAGCGCCGGCUAACUACGUG